This 301-nucleotide ribosomal RNA is filed under the name uncultured bacterium. Its description in RNAcentral is "partial 16S ribosomal RNA". It matches the Rfam family "Bacterial small subunit ribosomal RNA", at positions 510 to 808 of the family's 1533-position model. The record is from RNAcentral.
CGCCGCCGCGGGAAUACAGAGGGUGCAAGCGUUAAUCGGAAUUACUGGGCGUAAAGCGCGCGUAGGUGGUUUGUUAAGUUGGAUGUGAAAGCCCCGGGCUCAACCUGGGAACUGCAUCCAAAACUGGCAAGCUAGAGUACGGUAGAGGGUGGUGGAAUUUCCUGUGUAGCGGUGAAAUGCGUAGAUAUAGGAAGGAACACCAGUGGCGAAGGCGACCACCUGGACUGAUACUGACACUGAGGUGCGAAAGCGUGGGGAGCAAACAGGAUUAGAUACCCCUGUAGUCCCUGUCUCUUAUACA